Molecule: ribosomal RNA, 257 nt
Filed under: uncultured bacterium
Lineage: Bacteria
Description: partial 16S ribosomal RNA
Rfam family: Bacterial small subunit ribosomal RNA
Source: RNAcentral
UACGAAGGGUGCAAGGCGUUACUCGGAAUUACUGGGCGUAAAGCGUGCGUAGGUGGUGAGUUAAGUCUGAUCGUGAAAGCCCCGGGCCUCAACCUGGGAAUGGCGAUGGAUACUGGCUCGCUAGAGUGCGGUAGAGGAGAGUGGAAUUCCCGGUGUAGCAGUGAAAUGCGUAGAGAUCGGGAGGAACAUCAGUUGCGAAGGCGGCUCUCUGGACCAGCACUGACACUGAGGCACGGAAAGCGUGGGGAGCGAACAGG